AGCCUGGGCAGGCCUGGAAUGUGAAGGAGGAGCUGAAACAUGAGACUCUGAGCUCAGACCGGAAAGAACAAGCUGCUCAUUUUUGUCCCUGUUGUGGAAGAGCUGUUACAUACCACAGUGCCUGCUGGGCUUCUGAGCACUUGUUAACACCUCAGGUGCUUAAGAAGCUCUCUAUCAUGAAAACGAUUCUACCUAGCAGUCAUGAUGCAACAGGUUUGGAAGGAAGGAAUAACAGGAGAGAUGAAACAGAAAAGUAAUAGGCUACUGGCAUGUAAACUAAAAUCAAAACUAAACUAAUGAAGCGCCCAAG
RNAcentral lists this long non-coding RNA (310 nucleotides) under Chloebia gouldiae (Gouldian finch). Its description in RNAcentral is "Erythrura gouldiae (Gouldian finch) lncRNA (ENSEGOG00005003510.1)". Lineage: Eukaryota; Metazoa; Chordata; Aves; Passeriformes; Passeridae. The record is from RNAcentral.